CUUUUAACCUAAUAGAGCCAUGCUUUUAACGGUCGCAGGUGUAAACAAAGAUGCUGCAUUUAGGAUCAAAGGGCAGGGACCAUGGAGACGGUAACAAACACAGAGGUGUGCGUGUGGAUGUUUCAAGCUUUCAUGCUCUCUGCAAGAUUUUGUAGCCUGGCUGCAAGGACACGAACAUUACUGAGGUCAGACGCCGGCG
Long non-coding RNA from Plectropomus leopardus (leopard coralgrouper), 199 nucleotides. RefSeq lists it as uncharacterized. The record is from RefSeq and is a predicted model, not a curated record. Lineage: Eukaryota; Metazoa; Chordata; Actinopteri; Perciformes; Serranidae.